GAUGAACGCUGACAGAAUGCUUAACACAUGCAAGUCAACUUGAACUUCGGUUUGGGUGGCGGACGGGUGAGUAACGCGUAAAGAACUUGCCUCACAGUUAGGGACAACAUUUGGAAACGAAUGCUAAUACCUGAUAUUAUGAUUUUAGGGCAUCCUAGAAUUAUGAAAGCUAUAUGCGCUGUGAGAGAGCUUUGCGUCCCAUUAGCUAGUUGGAGAGGUAACGGCUCACCAAGGCGAUGAUGGGUAGCCGGCCUGAGAGGGUGAACGGCCACAAGGGGAAGGAGACACGGCCCUUACUCCUACGGGAGGCAGCAGUGGGGAAUAUUGGAAAAUGGACCAAGAGUCUGAUCCAGCAAUUCUGUGUGCACGAUGAAGUUUUUCGGAAUGUAAAGUGCUUUCAGUUGGGAAGAAAAAAAUGACGAUACCAACAGAAGAAGUGACGGCUAAAUACGUG
This 454-nucleotide ribosomal RNA is filed under the name uncultured bacterium. RNAcentral describes it as "partial 16S ribosomal RNA". It matches the Rfam family "Bacterial small subunit ribosomal RNA", at positions 28 to 507 of the family's 1533-position model. The record is from RNAcentral.